Arabidopsis lyrata subsp. lyrata is the source of this 1157-nucleotide RNA transcript. RefSeq lists it as uncharacterized. The record is from RefSeq and is a predicted model, not a curated record. NCBI's taxonomy places the organism in Eukaryota, Viridiplantae, Streptophyta, Magnoliopsida, Brassicales, Brassicaceae. The transcript is spliced from 2 exons.
GCACUAUAUAAAAUUCAGUCACCAGUAGAAUAUCACCCAUCUUAUAUCUAUGUAGGCUUAGCCAAAACAAAAACAAUAUUAUUCGAUUCGUGCACCUCAAUAUUAGUCGUAGUAUGUAUAUAAAUAAUUUUUUCUCAACUGAGGGUUAACUCACCGAAAUGAUUUGUGACCAAGGGUUCGUAAUAACACCCUAACUUGACAUCCACGAGAUCAACAAUUUCGAUUUUGUUACCCGCAUCAACAAGUAGGAACUCCGAAAUAUGACAAGUUGGGCAUAAAUGUGUAUGACACAUCUUCUGCUUUGCAAAGAGGAUUCAUAUUAAUCCCAAACAUAGAUUCUGAAGAUACGUAACUCGAGGAAAUUCAUGGCAACUUGUUAGAGUAAAACUACAAUGUUGGGAUGUGUUGAGCCAUUCGACCGGUUGCAAUGCUUUCAAUGAAUUUGGCUUUAGGCUAAAUACUCAAGAUUCAUAUAUAAUAGACGCUAAGCGUAAUAAAUGUCACUCAAUCUAACAAACUCAUAGACCUGAAUGAAAAAAAAUGGAUUGUUUUACAUUUGACCACACAAGAAAACGUUCUAGUCUUCUAGAUGAAGAAAAUAAUUAGUAAAAACAUAUUACCUUAUCUCUGGUUCUUCCACUAAUGAUAGCGGUUGGGAAGUAGUCAAAUACGUUGUUCUCCAAAAGAAUUUAAAAUAACUUAAAUUAUGUUGGACUAAUCUAAGAGAAGACUUAAUACAUUUCAAGAGUCAAAUACGCAUUUUCCACAAAGAAUUUUUUUUAAAAACAAGAGGUCCAUCUUACUUAUCCGCGUAACCUUAUAUUUAUUUCUAAAUAAAAAGGCAUUGAAAUUAACAUCGCAACGGUGAGUUCAUUUCUCUCCAUAUAUUCAUGAAUUCACCUUCAAAAACUCAUCCUUUUAAAAUUACCCAAAAAAAAAUAAAAAUUUCAAACUUCAAAAUAAUGUAUAACGUCGUGGUUUGCUUACUAACUUUGAGUUUUCUGUUGUUCUCUGGAUUAUCAAACACAGUAGUGGCUCGAGUACAAUAUGAAUCUCCAAUUCCCCAAAUAGGAGAAGGGGUUUGGGAUCAAAAGGUGAUCGUCAAAGAGAUCAAGGCUGUGGUAGAUGGAAGUUGUUCACCGCAUGCACAUGGAAGA